Non-coding RNA from Schistosoma rodhaini, 45 nucleotides. The record is from Rfam. Lineage: Eukaryota; Metazoa; Platyhelminthes; Trematoda; Strigeidida; Schistosomatidae.
AUCCAGCUGAUGAGUCCGAGAUAGUACGAAACACGCGUACUGGAU